CUGAUCUAAGUUCAGUUUGUUUUUGUUGUCUGUAUUUUUCAGGUGUUCGUGGAGUUCAGCAAGAACCAAAAGCAGGAAUUCUACGAGAGAAUCGAUCGGCUCGGUCCUCGUCUCCUCGAGUUAUUUCCAUCCAAGAGAGACUACAGAGCCAACUGUGAUCGGGACACAGGUGCUCAGAGGACUUCCUGUCAUCCUACGGGACAAUCCCACAAACGUCUUCAAAUAAAAGCAGACUUUAUGAUGAUGGUUCUUCUCGUGAGCUUGAUAUUGGGAUACUUCUCGUUGAGCGUGAAGGUGCUGGGCUCACAUCUUCUCAGCAUCUCAGUCCAGCCUCGCUGAACAUCAUCAGAGGGAGAAGUCGUGAUGGACAACAUUCAAGAUCUGCCAAAAGCAAUGUGCGUUCUGUUUGGACUCACGUAUGCUCUCCAUCUUAACAACCCAGGACUAUGGAGCUCACAUUUCAGCUCCUCCAGCAGGUACUGAUCUUGUUAGGCCUCACUGACCUAAAGACGAAGAUACAGACUUUGAAAAAUCAGCUCGCAAUGUCCAUCUGAGUGGGGGUGUCUUGUGACUUUAGUUUUGUUUAUGGAUUUACCACUUUAAUCUCAGGGGACAUCCAUGUUUUUAAUACACACACGGACAACA
Long non-coding RNA from Perca fluviatilis (European perch), 645 nucleotides. RefSeq lists it as uncharacterized. The record is from RefSeq and is a predicted model, not a curated record. Lineage: Eukaryota; Metazoa; Chordata; Actinopteri; Perciformes; Percidae. The transcript has 3 exons.